RNAcentral lists this ribosomal RNA (2718 nucleotides) under Escherichia coli. Its description in RNAcentral is "partial 23S ribosomal RNA". It matches the Rfam family "Bacterial large subunit ribosomal RNA". The record is from RNAcentral. Lineage: Bacteria; Pseudomonadati; Pseudomonadota; Gammaproteobacteria; Enterobacterales; Enterobacteriaceae.
AUCUAAGUACCCCGAGGAAAAGAAAUCAACCGAGAUUCCCCCAGUAGCGGCGAGCGAACGGGGAGGAGCCCAGAGCCUGAAUCAGUGUGUGUGUUAGUGGAAGCGUCUGGAAAGGCGCGCGAUACAGGGUGACAGCCCCGUACACAAAAAUGCACAUAUUGUGAGCUCGAUGAGUAGGGCGGGACACGUGGUAUCCUGUCUGAAUAUGGGGGGACCAUCCUCCAAGGCUAAAUACUCCUGACUGACCGAUAGUGAACCAGUACCGUGAGGGAAAGGCGAAAAGAACCCCGGCGAGGGGAGUGAAAAAGAACCUGAAACCGUGUACGUACAAGCAGUGGGAGCCUCUUAAUGGGGUGACUGCGUACCUUUUGUAUAAUGGGUCAGCGACUUAUAUUCUGUAGCAAGGUUAACCGAAUAGGGGAGCCGAAGGGAAACCGAGUCUUAACUGGGCGUUAAGUUGCAGGGUAUAGACCCGAAACCCGGUGAUCUAGCCAUGGGCAGGUUGAAGGUUGGGUAACACUAACUGGAGGACCGAACCGACUAAUGUUGAAAAAUUAGCGGAUGACUUGUGGCUGGGGGUGAAAGGCCAAUCAAACCGGGAGAUAGCUGGUUCUCCCCGAAAGCUAUUUAGGUAGCGCCUCGUGAAUUCAUCUCCGGGGGUAGAGCACUGUUUCGGCAAGGGGGUCAUCCCGACUUACCAACCCGAUGCAAACUGCGAAUACCGGAGAAUGUUAUCACGGGAGACACACGGCGGGUGCUAACGUCCGUCGUGAAGAGGGAAACAACCCAGACCGCCAGCUAAGGUCCCAAAGUCAUGGUUAAGUGGGAAACGAUGUGGGAAGGCCCAGACAGCCAGGAUGUUGGCUUAGAAGCAGCCAUCAUUUAAAGAAAGCGUAAUAGCUCACUGGUCGAGUCGGCCUGCGCGGAAGAUGUAACGGGGCUAAACCAUGCACCGAAGCUGCGGCAGCGACACUAUGUGUUGUUGGGUAGGGGAGCGUUCUGUAAGCCUGUGAAGGUGGCCUGUGAGGGUUGCUGGAGGUAUCAGAAGUGCGAAUGCUGACAUAAGUAACGAUAAAGCGGGUGAAAAGCCCGCUCGCCGGAAGACCAAGGGUUCCUGUCCAACGUUAAUCGGGGCAGGGUGAGUCGACCCCUAAGGCGAGGCCGAAAGGCGUAGUCGAUGGGAAACAGGUUAAUAUUCCUGUACUUGGUGUUACUGCGAAGGGGGGACGGAGAAGGCUAUGUUGGCCGGGCGACGGUUGUCCCGGUUUAAGCGUGUAGGCUGGUUUUCCAGGCAAAUCCGGAAAAUCAAGGCUGAGGCGUGAUGACGAGGCACUACGGUGCUGAAGCGACAAAUGCCCUGCUUCCAGGAAAAGCCUCUAAGCAUCAGGUAACAUCAAAUCGUACCCCAAACCGACACAGGUGGUCAGGUAGAGAAUACCAAGGCGCUUGAGAGAACUCGGGUGAAGGAACUAGGCAAAAUGGUGCCGUAACUUCGGGAGAAGGCACGCUGAUAUGUAGGUGAAGCGACUUGCUCGUGGAGCUGAAAUCAGUCGAAGAUACCAGCUGGCUGCAACUGUUUAUUAAAAACACAGCACUGUGCAAACACGAAAGUGGACGUAUACGGUGUGACGCCUGCCCGGUGCCGGAAGGUUAAUUGAUGGGGUUAGCGGUAACGCGAAGCUCUUGAUCGAAGCCCCGGUAAACGGCGGCCGUAACUAUAACGGUCCUAAGGUAGCGAAAUUCCUUGUCGGGUAAGUUCCGACCUGCACGAAUGGCGUAAUGAUGGCCAGGCUGUCUCCACCCGAGACUCAGUGAAAUUGAACUCGCUGUGAAGAUGCAGUGUACCCGCGGCAAGACGGAAAGACCCCGUGAACCUUUACUAUAGCUUGACACUGAACAUUGAGCCUUGAUGUGUAGGAUAGGUGGGAGGCUUUGAAGUGUGGACGCCAGUCUGCAUGGAGCCGACCUUGAAAUACCACCCUUUAAUGUUUGAUGUUCUAACGUGGGCCCCUUACCGGGGUUGCGGACAGUGUCUGGUGGGUAGUUUGACUGGGGCGGUCUCCUCCUAAAGAGUAACGGAGGAGCACGAAGGUUGGCUAAUCCUGGUCGGACAUCAGGAGGUUAGUGCAAUGGCAUAAGCCAGCUUGACUGCGAGCGUGACGGCGCGAGCAGGUGCGAAAGCAGGUCAUAGUGAUCCGGUGGUUCUGAAUGGAAGGGCCAUCGCUCAACGGAUAAAAGGUACUCCGGGGAUAACAGGCUGAUACCGCCCAAGAGUUCAUAUCGACGGCGGUGUUUGGCACCUCGAUGUCGGCUCAUCACAUCCUGGGGCUGAAGUAGGUCCCAAGGGUAUGGCUGUUCGCCAUUUAAAGUGGUACGCGAGCUGGGUUUAGAACGUCGUGAGACAGUUCGGUCCCUAUCUGCCGUGGGCGCUGGAGAACUGAGGGGGGCUGCUCCUAGUACGAGAGGACCGGAGUGGACGCAUCACUGGUGUUCGGGUUGUCAUGCCAAUGGCACUGCCCGGUAGCUAAAUGCGGAAGAGAUAAGUGCUGAAAGCAUCUAAGCACGAAACUUGCCCCGAGAUGAGUUCUCCCUGACUCCUUGAGAGUCCUGAAGGAACGUUGAAGACGACGACGUUGAUAGGCCGGGUGUGUAAGCGCAGCGAUGCGUUGAGCUAACCGGUACUAAUGAACCGUGAGGCUUAACCUUACAACGCCGAAG